UGACUGAGACUGAGCUGAUGCCAAGCUA
This 28-nucleotide non-coding RNA is filed under the name Homo sapiens (human). The record is from RNAcentral. Lineage: Eukaryota; Metazoa; Chordata; Mammalia; Primates; Hominidae.